GAGUCCCUGCGCCGCCGCGCUCGCGCGUUGGCCGCAGCGGCUGGGGGCCCGGGACGUGCGGGACCGCGAGGCCGAGCCGGGACGCCCCCCAGCGGCCGGCGCGGGCCCCAUGUCUGGCCCGCGCGGAGCGGAGCAGGCGAGGUGAAGCCCCCGGGCCGGCAGCCGGAGCUCGUGGCGGCGGCGCCGGCUCCAUGGGCAGCAGCGCACAGCGGCACGAUGAUGGACGUUAACAGCAGCGGCCGCCCGGACCUCUACGGGCACCUCCGCUCUUUCCUGCUGCCCGAGGUGGGGCGCGGGCUGCCCGACCUGAGCCCCGACGGCGCCGGCCCGGUUGCGGGCUCCUGGGCGCCGCACCUGCUGCGUGGGGUCCCCGAGGUGACGGCCAGCCCCGUGCCCACUUGGGACGCGCCCCCGGACAAUGCCUCCGGCUGCUGGGAGCAGAUCAACUAUGGCAGAGCCGAGAAAGUUGUGAUCGGCUCCAUCCUGACGCUCAUCACGCUGCUGACGAUCGCCGGCAACUGCCUGGUGGUGAUCUCGGUGUGCUUCGUCAAGAAGCUCCGCCAGCCCUCCAACUACCUGAUCGUGUCCCUGGCACUGGCCGACCUCUCGGUGGCCGUGGCGGUCAUGCCCUUCGUCAGCGUCACCGACCUCAUCGGAGGCAAGUGGAUCUUUGGCCACUUCUUCUGCAACGUCUUCAUCGCCAUGGACGUCAUGUGCUGCACAGCUUCGAUCAUGACCCUGUGCGUGAUCAGCAUCGACAGGUACCUUGGCAUCACCAGGCCGCUGACGUACCCUGUGAGGCAGAAUGGGAAAUGCAUGGCGAAGAUGAUUCUCUCCGUCUGGCUCCUUUCCGCCUCCAUCACCUUACCGCCGCUCUUCGGAUGGGCUCAGAAUGUAAACGAUGACAAAGUGUGUUUGAUCAGCCAGGACUUUGGCUACACGAUUUACUCCACCGCUGUGGCGUUUUACAUCCCCAUGUCCGUCAUGCUUUUCAUGUACUACCAGAUUUACAAGGCCGCCAGGAAGAGCGCCGCCAAACACAAGUUCCCCGGCUUCCCUCGCCUGGAGGGGCCCGACAGCGUCAUCUCCCUGAACGGCAUGGUGAAGCUCCAGAAGGAGGUGGAGGAGUGUGCCAACCUUUCGAGACUCCUCAAACACGAAAGGAAAAACAUCUCCAUCUUUAAGAGGGAACAGAAAGCGGCCACCACCUUGGGGAUCAUCGUCGGGGCCUUCACCGUGUGCUGGCUGCCGUUCUUCCUCCUCUCGACAGCCAGGCCCUUCAUCUGUGGCACUGCCUGCAGCUGCAUCCCGCUGUGGGUGGAGAGGACAUUUCUGUGGCUGGGCUAUGCAAACUCGCUCAUUAACCCUUUUAUAUAUGCCUUCUUCAACCGGGACCUGAGGACCACCUAUCGCAGCCUGCUCCAGUGCCAGUACCGGAACAUCAACCGGAAGCUCUCGGCCGCAGGCAUGCACGAGGCCCUGAAGCUUGCCGAGAGGCCCGAGAGACCCGAGUUUGUGCUGUAAGGUCGUUUAUCACUAUUUUCCUUUUCUCCCCCCUACCUUGUCGUGGAACUUCUUGAAGUGCAUCACAGACAGCUUCCUGAAUCAGUAGCUAGCUUACUGUCUCCCAAGCAUAUCAGAUUGGGAUUCAGAAUAUUAUAGACUCCAGUGCUCCAUCCAGUAGAAUUCUGAAAGCCAGAGAUAGGUGCUUAGUUAGAUUGGAAGCCGAGCCGGAUUUGCUGAUGAAUUGCAAUUGAUGUGACUGAUGACAAAGAAGGUGAUGUUUCCCACCCUUUCUCCAUAAAUAACAUCCAAAUUAUGUCCUUAUAUCUCCAAUUCUUGUAACAUUAUCAUUUUCAAUGAUAUUACUCUUACAUCCAGUAAAACUUUUUUUUUUAUAUAUAUAUAUAUAUUUGUGUGUGUGAGGAAGGUCGGCCCUGAGCUAACAUCUGCCAAUCCUCCUCUUUUUGCUGAGGAAGACUGGCCCUGGGCUAACAUCCGUGCCCAUCUUCCUCCACUUCAUAUGGGACUCCGCCACAGCAUGGCUUGAUGGGCGGUGCGUUGGUGCGUGCCUGGGAUCGGAACCUGCAAACCCCGGGCCACCGCAGCGGAGCGCGGGCACUUAACCGCUUGUGCCACCGGGCUGGCCCCCUCCAGUAAAACAUUUUUGAUGACCUCAUCCUUCACUGAUAAAUUCUUCUUUGGAAAAGGAAGCAAAUUCACACAGGCCAAAAGGAAGCAGCCUGGGACAAAGGAGAGUGGUUAGUAUGGGGUGAUGCCAGGAUGAAGCGAAGUCUUGAAAACUACGGAGCUUUCAGGAAGUGCUGCCCGCUUUUUUAGAAGUUGAGAACUGAUAGAUAGUUGGUGAGUUUGCUUAGGAGGCAUUAGUGACUUUGCAAGAAGCAACUGCAAGAGAGUGUUGGGAUCUGAAAAAGGAUUACAAAGGGCCAAUGCUGAUAAGGAAAUGGAUGUUUCACAUGUAAUCCACGUGCUAAUGAAUUUGGCAUUAUAAAGCAGGAAGGAGUCAGUAUGGUAAUGAGAGUUGUCAGCAGGUCCAAUGCUUUAAAUUUGAGGUAGAGGAGGCAUCUUCAUGUUUGAAAGCUGUGGGGAAAGAAACUGAAAUGAGGAGAUGGAAGGUGCUGGUGAGAGAGAGAGCAGAUUAGUGCUGGACGUGAGAGAGGAGGAGGGUUCCUCUUCAUUGAACCUGGCAGGAAGGAAUAGACCAGAGAACAUGGACCAAUUUAGCUGAGAAGCACCUUCCCAGUCAUCUUGUCCAAGCCCUUCAUUUGACAGAAGAGGCAACCGAGACCUGGAGGGUGAGAUGUCCCACAGUGAGCUAGUGGCAUCACCAGGUCUAGAUCCCACAUCAUCUGAAUCUUACUUCUAUACAUGUUUCAUAUAUUAGACUCCUUUAUGUGCAAUAAAGGUGGCAAAGGACACCUCUGUGCUCCCAGCUAUCUCAGGGAACAGCCCUGCUCAAAGAGGGUACAAAGUGCCCUCAUGGAUUACAGUAGACUCCAGAGGCUCCAAACUUCGCAUACUCCCCAAAUGACUCUGGAAACCUCUAGGAACUCAGCCUAUUUUCUAACUUCACUAGAAGGAAGCAGGCAGAAACAUCCCCUAAUAGGGAUGUGGGAAGCCAGAGAUCAACAUUUCUUGUCCUAGGAACUCAAAGUUGUAAGACUAUAGAUCUGCUAAUUCUUGACCUGGGUGUAGCUUUCACAGACAAAACUCUGACUACUGUAGAAAAAAAAGUCAUGACAUGAUCAAAAGAGGAAUAAUGGAG
RNA transcript from Diceros bicornis minor, 3286 nucleotides. It is a transcript of the gene named 5-hydroxytryptamine receptor 7, with no coding region annotated. Lineage: Eukaryota; Metazoa; Chordata; Mammalia; Perissodactyla; Rhinocerotidae. The record is from RefSeq and is a predicted model, not a curated record. The transcript has 3 exons.